Molecule: ribosomal RNA, 764 nt
Filed under: uncultured Bacteroidales bacterium
Lineage: Bacteria; Pseudomonadati; Bacteroidota; Bacteroidia; Bacteroidales
Description: bacterial SSU rRNA
Rfam family: Bacterial small subunit ribosomal RNA
Source: RNAcentral
GAUGAACGCUAGCUACAGGCUUAACACAUGCAAGUCGAGGGGCAGCAUGAUUGAAGCUUGCUUCAAUUGAUGGCGACCGGCGCACGGGUGAGUAACACGUAUCCAACCUGCCGAUAACUCGGGGAUAGCCUUUCGAAAGAAAGAUUAAUACCCGAUAGUAUAGUAUUUCCGCAUGGUUUCACUAUUAAAGAAUUUCGGUUAUCGAUGGGGAUGCGUUCCAUUAGAUAGUUGGCGGGGUAACGGCCCACCAAGUCAACGAUGGAUAGGGGUUCUGAGAGGAAGGUCCCCCACAUUGGAACUGAGACACGGUCCAAACUCCUACGGGAGGCAGCAGUGAGGAAUAUUGGUCAAUGGACGAGAGUCUGAACCAGCCAAGUAGCGUGAAGGAUGACUGCCCUAUGGGUUGUAAACUUCUUUUAUACGGGAAUAAAGUGGAGUAUGCAUACUCCUUUGUAUGUACCGUAUGAAUAAGGAUCGGCUAACUCCGUGCCAGCAGCCGCGGUAAUACGGAGGAUCCGAGCGUUAUCCGGAUUUAUUGGGUUUAAAGGGAGCGUAGGCGGGUGCUUAAGUCAGUUGUGAAAGUUUGCGGCUCAACCGUAAAAUUGCAGUUGAUACUGGGCGCCUUGAGUGCAGCAUAGGUAGGCGGAAUUCGUGGUGUAGCGGUGAAAUGCUUAGAUAUCACGAAGAACUCCGAUUGCGAAGGCAGCUUACUGGACUGUAACUGACGCUGAUGCUCGAAAGUGUGGGUAUCAAACAGGAUUAGA